AGACCCUACUCCACGCGAUGGCAUAUUUUAUUACAGCGAUUAUGUCAACUGCGACGUAGUGGACAUUGAGUUCCGUGGUCAUCAAUGCAUACUAUGGGCACAGAGACCAGUAAAAGACAACGUGCCACAGAACUGCAUCGACCACUUCGUUGACACCUGCGGCGUCGUGGUACCUGAACACAGCAGAGACCUCUGCCCUGAUGGAGAGGGUGACUACUAAUAAAUUCAUUGCUUCUCCAUGGAAA
Long non-coding RNA from Rhipicephalus sanguineus (brown dog tick), 245 nucleotides. RefSeq lists it as uncharacterized. The transcript is spliced from 2 exons. The record is from RefSeq and is a predicted model, not a curated record. NCBI's taxonomy places the organism in Eukaryota, Metazoa, Arthropoda, Arachnida, Ixodida, Ixodidae.